UGCACAUAAUUAUCAAAAUUGAAAAAAUUAAAGUUUUUGAGAAAAAUCGAAAUUUCCAUUUUUUACAAUUAACAUGUACUUUUUUAGAUCGAAAAUUUUGCAUAACUUUUUUGUUAUUAAAGAUAGAGCUUUCAUUUAAAAACUGUCAAGUACUCCUAGCGAAGGGGCACCUUUCACAUAAUUAUCAAAAUUGAAAAAAUUAUAGUUUUUGAGAAAAAUCGAAAUUUCGGUUUUUUACAAUUAACAUGUACUUUUUUAGAUCGAAAAUUUUGCAUAACUUUUUUAUUAUUAAAGAUAGAGCUUUCAUUUAAAAACUGUCAAGUACUCCUAACGAAGGGGCACCUUUCACAUAAUUAUCAAAAUUGAAAAAAUUAUAGUUUUUGAGAAAAAUCGAAAUUUCGGUUUCUUUACAAUUAACAUGUACUUUUUUAGAUCGAAAAUUUUGCAUAACUUUUUUGUUAUUAAAGAUAGAGGUUUCAUUUAAAAACAGUCAAGUACUCCUAGCGAAGGGGCACCUUGCACAUAAUUAUCAAAAUUGAAAAAAUUAUAGUUUUUGAGAAAAAUCGAAAUUUCGAUUUUUUACAAUUAACAUGUACUUUUUUAGAUCGUAAAUUUUGCAUAACUUUUUUGUUAUUAAAGAUAGAGGUUUCAUUUAAAAACAGUCAAGUACUCCUAGCGAAGGGGCACCUUGCACAUAAUUAUCAAAAUUGAAAAAAUUAUAGUUUUUGAGAAAAAUCGAAAUUUCGAUUUUUUACAAUUAACAUGUACUUUUUUAGAUCGUAAAUUUUGCAUAACUUUUUUGUUAUUAAAGAUAGAGGUUUCAUUUAAAAACAGUCAAGUACUCCUAGCGAAGGGGCACCUUGCACAUAAUUAUCAAAAUUGAAAAAAUUAUAGUUUUUGAGAAAAAUCGAAAUUUCGAUUUUUUACAAUUAACAUGUACUUUUUUAGAUCGAAAAUUUUGCAUAACUUUUUUGUUAUUAAAGAUAGAGCUUUUAUUUAAAAACUGCCAAGCACUCCUAGCGAAGGGGCAUCUUGCACAUAAUUAUCAAAAUUUAAAAAAUUAUAGUUUUUGAGAAAAAUCAAAAUUUCGGUUUUUUACAAUUAACAUGUACUUUUUUAGAUCGUAAAUUUUGCAUAACUUUUUUGUUAUUAAAGAUAGAGGUUUCAUUUAAAAACAGUCAAGUACUCCUAGCGAAGGGGCACCUUGCACAUAAUUAUCAAAAUUGAAAAAAUUAUAGUUUUUGAGAAAAAUCGAAAUUUCGAUUUUUUACAAUUAACAUGUACUUUUUUAGAUCGUAAAUUUUGCAUAACUUUUUUGUUAUUAAAGAUAGAGGUUUCAUUUAAAAACAGUCAAGUACUCCUAGCGAAGGGGCACCUUGCACAUAAUUAUCAAAAUUGAAAAAAUUAUAGUUUUUGAGAAAAAUCGAAAUUUCGAUUUUUUACAAUUAACAUGUACUUUUUUAGAUCGAAAAUUUUGCAUAACUUUUUUGUUAUUAAAGAUAGAGCUUUUAUUUAAAAACUGCCAAGCCCUCCUAGCGAAGGGGCAUCUUGCACAUAAUUAUCAAAAUUUAAAAAAUUAUAGUUUUUGAGAAAAAUCAAAAUUUCGGUUUUUUUACAAUUAACAUGUACUUUUUUAGAUCGAAAAUUUUGCAUAACUUUUUUGUUAUUAAAGAUAGAGCUUUCAUUUAAAAACUGCCAAGCACUCCUAGCGAAGGGGCACCUUGCACAUAAUUAUCAAAAUUUAAAAAAUUAUAGUUAUUGAGAAAAAUCGAAAUUUCGGUUUCUUUACAAUUAACAUGUACUUUUUUAGAUCGUAAAUUUUGCAUAACUUUUUUGUUAUUAAAGAUAGAGCUUUCAUUUAAAAACUGUCAAGUACUCCUAGCGAAGGGGCACCUUUCACAUAAUUAUCAAAAUUGAAAAAAUUAUAGUUUUUGAGAAAAAUCGAAAUUUCUGUUUUUUACAAUUAACAUGUACUUUUUUAGAUCGAAAAUUUUGCAUAACUUUUUUGUUAUUAAAGAUAGAGCUUUCAUUUAAAAACUGCCAAGCACUCCUAGCGAAGGGGCACCUUGCACAUAAUUAUCAAAAUUAAAAAAAUUAUAGUUUUUGAGAAAAAUCGAAAUUUCGGUUUUUUUAAAAUUAACAUGUACUUUUUUAGAUCGAAAAUUUUGCAUAACUUUUUUGUUAUUAAAGAUAGAGCUUUCAUUUAAAAACUGUCAAGUACUCCUAGCGAAGGGGCACCUUGCACAUAAAUAUCAAAAUUUAAAAAAUUAUAGUUUUUGAGAAAAAUCGAAAUUUCGAUUUUUUACAAUUAACAUGUACUUUUUUAGAUCGAAAAUUUUGCAUAACUUUUUUGUUAUUAAAGAUAGAGCUUUCAUUUAAAAACUGUCAAGUACUCCUAGCGAAGGGGCACCUUGCACAUAAUUAUCAAAAUUGAAAAAAUUAUAGUUUUUGAGAAAAAUCGAAAUUUCUGUUUUUUACCAUUAACAUAUACUUUAUAAGAUCGUAAAUUUUGCAUAACUUUUUUGGUAUUAAAGAUAGAGCUUUCAUUUAAAAAGUGUUAAGUACGUCUUGCAAAAGGGCACCUUGCACACAAUUAUCAAAAUUAAAAAAAUUACAGUUUUUGAGAAAAAUCGAAAUUUCUGUUUUUUACCAUUAACAUAUACUUUAUAAGAUCGUAAAUUUUGCAUAACUUUUUUGUUAUUAAAGAUAGAGCUUUCAUUUAAAAACUGCCAAGCACUCCUAGCGAAGGGGCACCUUGCACAUAAUUAUCAAAAUUUAAAAAAUUAUAGUUUUUGAGAAAAAUCGAAAUUUCGGUUUUUUUACAAUUAACAUGUACUUUUUUAGAUCGAAAAUUUUGCAUAACUUUUUUGUUAUUAAAGAUAGAGCUUUCAUUUAAAAACUGUCAAGUACUCCUAGCGAAGGGGCACCUUGCACAUAAUUAUCAAAUUUGAAAAAAUUAAAGUUUUUGAGAAAAAUCGAAAUUUUGAUUUUUUACAAUUAACAUGUACUUUUUUAGAUCGUAAAUUUUGCAUAACUUUUUUGUUAUUAAAGAUAGAGCUUUCAUUUAAAAACUGUCAAGUACUCCUAGCGAAGGGGCACCUUGCACAUAAUUAUCAAAAUUGAAAAAAUUAUAGUUUUUGAGAAAAAUCGAAAUUUCGGUUUUUUACAAUUAACAUGUACUUUUUUAGAUCGAAAAUUUUGCAUAACUUUUUUGUUAUUAAAGAUAGAGCUUUCAUUUAAAAACUGUCAAGUACUCCUAGCGAAGGUGCACCUUGCACAUAAUUAUCAAAAUUGAAAAAAUUAAAGUUUUUGAGAAAAAUCGAAAUUUCCAUUUUUUACAAUUAACAUGUACUUUUUUAGAUCGAAAAUUUUGCAUAACUUUUUUGUUAUUAAAGAUAGAGCUUUCAUUUAAAAACUGUCAAGUACUCCUAGCGAAGGGGCACCUUGCACAUAAUUAUCAAAAUUUAAAAAAUUAUAGUUUUUGAGAAAAAUCAAAAUUUCGGUUUUUUUACAAUUAACAUGUACUUUUUUAGAUCGAAAAUUUUGCAUAACUUUUUUGUUAUUAAAGAUAGAGCUUUCAUUUAAAAACUGCCAGGUACUCCUCGCAAAGGGGCACCUUGCACAUAAUUAUCAAAAUUGAAAAAAUUAAAGUUUUUGAGAAAAAUCGAAAUUUCCAUUUUUUACAAUUAACAUGUACUUUUUUAGAUCGAAAAUUUUGCAUAACUUUUUUGUUAUUAAAGAUAGAGCUUUCAUUUAAAAACUGUCAAGUACUCCUAGCGAAGGGGCACCUUGCACAUAAUUAUCAAAAUUGAAAAAAUUAUAGUUUUUGAGAAAAAUCGAAAUUUCGGUUUUUUACAAUUAACAUGUACUUUUUUAGAUCGAAAAUUUUGCAUAACUUUUUUGUUAUUAAAGAUAGAGCUUUCAUUUAAAAACUGUCAAGUACUCCUAGCGAAGGGGCACCUUUCACAUAAUUAUCAAAAUUGAAAAAAUUAUAGUUUUUGAGAAAAAUCGAAAUUUCGGUUUUUUACAAUUAACAUGUACUUUUUUAGAUCGAAAAUUUUGCAUAACUUUUUUGUUAUUAAAGAUAGAGCUUUCAUUUAAAAACUGUCAAGUACUCCUAGCGAAGGGGCACCUUUCACAUAAUUAUCAAAAUUGAAAAAAUUAUAGUUUUUGAGAAAAAUCGAAAUUUCGGUUUUUUACAAUUAACAUGUACUUUAUAAGAUCGUAAAUUUUGCAUAACUUUUUCGUUAUUAAAGAUAGAGCUUUCAUUUAAAAACUGCCAAGCACUCCUAGCGAAGGGGCACCUUGCACAUAAUUAUCAAAAUUGAAAAAAUUAUAGUUUUUGAGAAAAAUCGAAAUUUCGAUUUUUUACAAUUAACAUGUACUUUUUUAGAUCGUAAAUUUUGCAUAACUUUUUUGUUAUUAAAGAUAGAGGUUUCAUUUAAAAACAGUCAAGUACUCCUAGCGAAGGGGCACCUUGCACAUAAAUAUCAAAAU
RNAcentral lists this long non-coding RNA (4497 nucleotides) under Anthonomus grandis grandis. RNAcentral describes it as "uncharacterized LOC126749618". Lineage: Eukaryota; Metazoa; Arthropoda; Insecta; Coleoptera; Curculionidae. The record is from RNAcentral.